GUGCGGGAUCGACUUACCAAUAAGAGCUGAUACAUUCCUUCCCAUGCUAAUCCUUUCAUCGCCCUUCAUCUUCCUCUUGUGGGUGCACAACUUCUUCAGAAAUUUGGCAUACUUGGGUAUCUGUUUGAUAGCAUCGAGUAGAGGUAUGUUCACCUCUACUUUCCUGAAGGUCUCCAGAAUUUCCCUAUCCACCUCUUCAGUCUUUUUGUUGGGAAG
RNAcentral lists this long non-coding RNA (216 nucleotides) under Vigna radiata. RNAcentral's name for it is "long non-coding RNA (VRAD_LNC017343)". The record is from RNAcentral. Lineage: Eukaryota; Viridiplantae; Streptophyta; Magnoliopsida; Fabales; Fabaceae.